RNAcentral lists this transfer RNA (76 nucleotides) under Microbacteriaceae bacterium BACL25 MAG-120322-bin65. RNAcentral describes it as "tRNA-Thr". It matches the Rfam family "tRNA". From Rfam's summary of the family: Transfer RNA (tRNA) molecules are approximately 80 nucleotides in length. Their secondary structure includes four short double-helical elements and three loops (D, anti-codon, and T loops). Lineage: Bacteria; Bacillati; Actinomycetota; Actinomycetes; Micrococcales; Microbacteriaceae. RNAcentral also lists the same sequence under 2 other names. The record is from RNAcentral.
GCCGCCUUAGCUCAGUUGGCAGAGCGUCUCACUCGUAAUGAGAAGGUCCCGGGUUCAAUUCCCGGAGGCGGCCCCA